This 121-nucleotide ribosomal RNA is filed under the name Vibrio parahaemolyticus. Its description in RNAcentral is "partial 16S ribosomal RNA". It matches the Rfam family "Bacterial small subunit ribosomal RNA", at positions 1415 to 1533 of the family's 1533-position model. Lineage: Bacteria; Pseudomonadati; Pseudomonadota; Gammaproteobacteria; Vibrionales; Vibrionaceae. The record is from RNAcentral.
UUGCAAAAGAAGUAGGUAGCUUAACCUUCGGGAGGGCGCUUACCACUUUGUGAUUCAUGACUGGGGUGAAGUCGUAACAAGGUAACCGUAGGGGAACCUGCGGUUGGAUCACCUCCUUACC